GGGAUCCACAGGAAUCAACAAGGAUCAACACAACUCAACCAACCCCACACCAGAGUUAGAGUCAUUGGUGAGUUGAAGCAGCAUGGCGGAUCAAAGGUUCGACUACUCAAAAACAGCAGCGGAGAGCAGCAAGGAGCCAAGAGGCGCAUUGUAGCUGGAGUAGAAGAUUGAAGACUCAGCAAAGGCGAGGAGUUGCAGUGUCGACAAAGGCUUCAACGAGGACGUCGAAGGAAUAAGUGGGGGAGAA
This 247-nucleotide long non-coding RNA is filed under the name Musa acuminata (dwarf banana). Its description in RNAcentral is "long non-coding RNA (MACU_LNC007318)". The record is from RNAcentral. Lineage: Eukaryota; Viridiplantae; Streptophyta; Magnoliopsida; Zingiberales; Musaceae.